This 340-nucleotide ribosomal RNA is filed under the name uncultured bacterium. RNAcentral's name for it is "bacterial SSU rRNA". It matches the Rfam family "Bacterial small subunit ribosomal RNA", at positions 30 to 363 of the family's 1533-position model. The record is from RNAcentral.
AUUGAACGCUGGCGGCACGCUUAACACAUGCAAGUCGAACGGCAGCACGAAGGGGUAACUCUUUGGUGGCGAGUGGCGAACGGGUGAGUAACACGUAGGGAUCUGCCUGUUAGAGGGGGAUAAGCCCGGGGGAAAACUCGGUCUAAUACCCGCAUACGCUCUACGGAGGAAAGUAUGGGAUUUAAUACCAUACGCUAACAGAUGAACCUGCGUUAGAUUAGCUAGUUGGUAGGGUAAAGCCUUACCAAGGCGACGAUCUAUAGCUGGUCUGAGAGGAUGAUCAGCCACACUGGAACUGAGACACGGUCCAGACUCCUACGGGAGGCAGCAGUGGGGAAUC